AUUUCCGGUAAGGCAGCGUAAUUAGAUGCUGUGGCUGUCCUCGGAACUAGUUGUUGAGGACUGAAGCGGUGCCUAGAGUAUUCCAGUGGAAAAGUCUCCCUUGCGUCCGGCUCUUUCUGAGGCUCCAGGCCUCGCAAACCCUGUCGCUCCUCUCCGGAGAACACUGAGAGAGCGCCCUAAGGAGAGGCCAGAGCCCUGUCUUCGAUCCCGUGCAGUCUUCCGAAGAGCGGGAAGCCGUGGCUUCCCACCUUGUUGUGACUUCAGGCGUCGGUUUCCCCAAAUUGGUGGUGUUCCCAUGAAAUAAAGAGGAACCGCCAACACUAGGCGCGUGAUGCUGCGCGAGAAACGAAAAAAUGAGUCGGUCUUUCAGGAGUUUCGGCCCAGUCUUUACAGGCACUGCAGCAGACAACUAGAGAAUCCAGAGCCGUCUGUUACGCCCACCACCCUUGACUGAACAGCAUACAGGUUUCAACUUGGAGACUUACCGCUUAGCUAGCAAGACUCUGGAACCUUCCUGGAAGGGACCAUACCCUGUGAUCCUGACAACACCAAGGACCAUCAAGGUGGCAGGGACUGCAGCUUGGAACUACCACAUCCAUCUAAAGGCAGACACAGCCACCAGAAGAAAGGUGACAGAAUGAAGGGUAACGCAAUAUCCCCAGUGCCCUCUAAAGGUGUGGCUCAUGUGCACCUUGAACUCAGACUGGCGCUAAUUUUGGGAAUCUUUAUAGGUCACUCCCAGCCAGUUAAAAAUGUUGAAGCCUGGGAUUGGGAUCUGUCUCGAACCUCAGAUAGGAAAAUAAUAGGUGUUUUCAGGAGUGUCAACUCCCAACCUGUGUUUAAAUUUGACCUGUGUGAUUUCUUUGAUAACAAUGAACUUAUAGCUGAAUGGGGAAUUUAUAGUCUAGUUCACCCGGGGUGUGGGACCAAAAUGCAGGAAAUAUCCUUUUGGUCAUCACCAUUUUAUGCAUGCCCAGCUGAUGGGCCUACACAUUGUCACAGGUGGGAAAAGGAUUAUCAUUGCUCCACCCCAGGCUGCGAGACUGAGUCUGACCACGGUGGCCAUAAAGACCCAUACAUCUCCAUUCAACGGGUAUAUCCUUCCCGGGAUUGCAAACCUGGGACCUGUAAUCCCUUUACUUUAAAGGUUGUGGCCUGGAAUGGAUUGAAUGCCAAAAAUUGGCUUACAGGCCGGACCUGGGGAUUUGUACUUAAAUUUAAGAAUUAUGGAAAUAGUCCUGGGGUAGAAUUCACUAUACAGAAAAAGGUUCCAUACUACCAAGCCAAUCCCAUAGGUCCUGAAAAGAGCUGGUUGCCUCAACCAGGGAUUAGGUUGUAUCCUUUCUCUCUCCUCACUCCUCAGGCCAUUUCACCUAUGGUAGUAAAUCUAUCCACAGUCAUGGUCAAGGGGCUACAGUAAUAGACAGCAGCUUCAACCCUAUUCCAGAACACACUUAAAGUUUCAUCCCCUAGUGAUUCCCGAGCUUAAGACUUAAAGUUAUUAUAUAAUUGGAUAAAUCAUACCCGCCCCCAGCCUUGGGAGAGAUUAUUGGUUUUGUCAAGGUCCCAGGCUUCUCUUUUAUGUAGAGAUAGAGGUCGAUCUGUUAUCCCAACUAGAAAAUGUAAAUAGUAAAACAAAGAAACUAGACUCACCCUGGGAGAUUUCCAAGGAAAAGGUUAAUCUCUUCUUCAGUUUGUAAUCAGCUAGCUUCCCGUUCUAGCAAAGCCUGAGUACUCAGCUAUACGUCACUGGUCUGAGCACAUCAGCAUGCACCUCCAGCGCCUAUUAGCAUUGCACUAGACAUGGUGGGCCUGAGCUUGCUAGAUAUGUAACAGCUAUGCACCUUGAAUUUUGGCCCCAGAAAGUUAAUCUCUCCCAAGGAAAUACCCUCUCCCAAGUUGGCAUGUAUGCUGGAGAGAAGGGUAGAAAACUUUUGCCUACAUAUAAAGGAAGUUCCCAUUGUGAGGUCCAGAUAAAAGAGAAUAGCAAUUCCAGCUAUAGAGUUAGCCCCUCCUCCUGAAAGCAAGAGUCACUGGUGUGGCUGCCUUGGGAUGUCAGCCCUGGUUAUGCAAGACCAGGAUUAAAAUGCUCAGUAACAAAGUAGACAAAGACAUGCAGCACCUAAAGGACUCCAUCAGGCAACUUGAAAAACAAGCAGUUUCCCUAGCAGAAAUGGUUUUACAGAACCAUUGAGGACUAGAUUUUAAUUGUGAAGGGAGGACAUAUGUUGUACUGCCUUAGGUGAAAAGUGCUUCUAUGUCAGUAGCUCAGGAGUUUAUGGGAAACAUGUCUCAGGAAAAGCUUGAAGGGCAAAGGAGUGAGCUGAGGCUUCACUACCAGUCUCUCUUUUCUUGGUCCUCAUGGGUUACCACCCCCAUCUUUAACACCCACACUGGGCCCAGUCUUUUACUAUUUAUUCCUUGUCAUCCCAGUCAGCCUUGCAUUUUAAAUUGGUGACUGGUGUGCAUUAAAAGUAGAACCGACUCUGCUCUAGGAGCCCUGCAGGCUUGGUACCAAUCUGUCCUCCAACACAGAUCAAUGACUGGAUUCCAUUCUGUACCCAGUACUGAUUUUAGGCUUUGUCCUCUGACUUUAAUUCUUGAAAGAUAAACUCCUGACGUCCUGUCUCCCUCCCCAAAACGGUGUAACUGUGAAAUGAUUAGCUGCUGGCACAGGCUUUUGUAACUUGCUUAGAGCUGUAUGCAGGGAAGUUUCUCAUAUAGUUGCAAAUCUACCGAAAAAUUAAGUAAUUGUGGUUUUUGGUUUAAAAAUCCUUCUCUCAACCCCUCCUGAGUGGUAUGCUUUUGAUUUGACUUUAAGACUGCCACCCAGCUAGCAGUUUUAAUAAAUUUAUCUAAUUGUAACUGGA
This is a long non-coding RNA of Rattus norvegicus (Norway rat), 2870 nucleotides long. RefSeq lists it as uncharacterized. The transcript is spliced from 2 exons. The record is from RefSeq and is marked validated. Lineage: Eukaryota; Metazoa; Chordata; Mammalia; Rodentia; Muridae.